This 17689-nucleotide long non-coding RNA is filed under the name Daucus carota (carrot). RNAcentral's name for it is "long non-coding RNA (DCAR_LNC006005)". The record is from RNAcentral. Lineage: Eukaryota; Viridiplantae; Streptophyta; Magnoliopsida; Apiales; Apiaceae.
GUGAGUAAUUUGAUAUGUGGAUGAUUUAAUAUUCACAGGCAAUAAUACAAGUUUGAUCGAAGCUUUUAAGCAGUCCAUCAUGAAGAAGUUUGAGACAAGUGAUUUGGGUCUGAUGUCAUACUUUCUUGGCAUUGAAGUAGAGCACAGAGAAGAUCGAAUAUUCAUAUCUCAGAUGUUGCUGUAUAAUCCUGUAAGGACUCUAGUUGAAGUUGGCACAAAGCUAACAAAGAAAAGGAAAGAGCCACUUGCAGAUCCAACUUAUUUUAAGCAAAUUGUUGGAAGUCUCAGGUACCUUGUACCAUACUUGACAUUUCCUAUGAAGUUGGUUUUAUUAGUAGAUACAUGAGUCACCACAGCGGUCUCACUUGCAAUAGCCAAACACAUCAUGCGUUAUUUAAGAGGUACUCACGAUCUUGGAUUAUUUUAUUCUUCAACUGAUAAGAGUGCACUCAUAGGUUUUUCAGACAAUGACUGGGCUGGAGAUUUGGAUGAUCGUAAAAGCACUUCUGGCUACUGUUUUAUACUUGGCAGUGGCUACUGUUUUAUACUUGGCAGUGCAGCAAGUUAAUGGUCAUCGAAGAAGCAAUCUACUGUCGCUCUCUCUACUUACGAAGCAGAGUACAUUGCUGCAGUUUCUAGUGCCUGCCAGGCUAUUUGGUUGACAAGUUUAUUGAGCCAGAUGCAUAAUUUAGUUAAGGGAACUUUAAAGAUAUUUGUAGAUAACAGAUCUGCAAUUACUCUGGCCAAGAAUCCAGUUGCUCAUGGAAGAAGUAAGCAUAUUGAAAUUAAGUAUCAUUUUCUUAGGGAACUAGUUGAGUAAAAGAAGGUUGAAUUGGUGUUUUGCAAGUCUGAAAAUCAAGUAUCAGACAUUCUAACAAAGCCUCUGAAGUUUGAAGCAUUUGUUAGGCUGAGAAGCAAGCUUGGUAUUUGUUCUAUAGAAUCAUGAUUAAGGAGGAGUGUUAGAGUGUAAUCCUGAUUUGUAGGAGUACAAUUUGAAUAAGUCAUGUUUGUAAUAUUAGUUCCUGGAUUUGUUAUAGUAGUGAGUGAAAGUGUGACUAUUUUUAUGGUCCACUUUGUUAGUGAUUCUGGUUGUUAUUUCUUAUCUGCAUGUUGUCUUAUAUAGUCUCUAACCAACUAGCUUUGAUUAAUGAAAAACUACGUCGCUUUCUUACAUAACUUAUUUCUCAGCAUAAUUACUCUUAUUUUACUAACAAAAGCAAUUCCACAAAAUCAGCACAUCAUUUAAAGUACAGAUAUGAUCUUAUUUGAAUCCAAAAUAGCUUUAGUUUAGGAUCAGUUUUGAUUCUGCAGUAAUUAAUUCAGUUUAUUAUACUUGUAAAUAUCUCCUCUAAUGUUGCCUGUAAUUGCGUUAGUAGUCUGAUAUAUAUUGAACAUUAUACAUCAAUGAGAUAAAAAGGAAAACACAUUUCUACAGUUACAUUUUCAUCAAUUUAAGAACUAGACUUUUCAUAUAUGUCUGGUUGAAGGAAUAAGAAGCUUGAAAAAAGCAUCUGACCUCCAAAUCCACAUAGAGCUAAUUGGAUUUUAAAUUUUAAAUAAAGUGUAAGGUGAGUCCUCAUAUGUGUUUAAAGGCCUCACAUGGCAUACUGAGUGAAAGAUGCUAACUCUACUAAACUUAGUCCACCUUAUGGGUUGACUACUUGACUUGUGAGCAAACUCAGUAGCAUGGAUCAAUUCUUUUCGCAACAUUAUUAUGAUUCCAUUAUAAAGAUCUCUACUUAACUAAAUUCUUUGUGACAGAUGCUUGUGUUGGCUUAAAGUGACAAGGUUUCAACAUUUUAUAGCUGGAUCAUGAUCUAGUUUCAUUACUAACCUGAAAUAUCUCUUCAUAUUUCAAGCAUUUAUCAAUACGUCGAAGAGAGUUUCACUCCUGGCGGGGAAGCUUGCCCUCAGAAUUAAGAUUGAUAGUUUUUUUUUAAAUGCGGGAAGGCUAAAGCUCUGGCAGAAAGGGGUUAUUUGCUUCAGAGAAAAGAGAUAUAUGGUAUGCCUCACCGGUUAAUGAUGAAAGAAAUUCUAAAAAGAAAAAAGUCACAUAUGAAAAGGCCUUGAAUCAAAGUUGUUGUUUCGACACAUUUUAAGCAUGUUGCUAACUUGCUAUUAGAAUUCUCUGAUGAUUCACUUUAAAUACGGUGCAACUGAUCAAAACAAUCGAACAUAAAUCACAUUGGUUCAAGGCCUAUUCAUAUGCUUAAACAAAUUUUCAAGUCUAAAUCAGAUGAUAAAGAAAAUCUUUUGAAACUGUAUAAAAAGAAAAUUAAACAGUUAUCUAAGAUGACAGAUGUAGAACCAAUCUAGAAAAAGAAGUUUCUGUAUCCACAACUUAGUCAGUUACAAGACUUGAACCCCUAUUAUUUUACAUUUCACGCUCAAUUACAUUACAACGGUUUACACAAAGAUAGAGGAAUUAAUUAAAUGACUCCAAGAAUGGUUACAUUUGAAGUGGUUUUAAGUUGCCUUCCUUCAUGAUAAAACAAUGCCCUCUUAUCUGCACAAGAAAAUAACUGGCAGCAAUCUUAUUGUGGGCAUGUUUGACUGAGAGCCUGUUUGGCUGAGCUUAGGACUUAUAAGUUAAUGCGACUUAUGUGAUAAGUUGGAGCUUAAAAUAUCUGUUUGGGUAAUUUUGACUUACUAAUGACUUAUGAGUUACUAAAAAUAGAAUAAUAAAAUUAAAAAUAAGAGUGAUUCAUGGGUAACUUAUGUUUUAUGGGUAAUUUUUAUCCAAAAAAAAGUUUAAAAAAAUUAAGUCCCUGAAAAAAGUACCUCAGACUAACUUCUGGCUUUAAGUCAGUUUCUGGCUUAUUUCUGACUUUAAGCCAACUUCUGGUUAAAUUACACAAACAGGCCCAGACAAACAGGCUCUGACCUUAUAUUGCAAAAAUGAAAAAUGAGGACUUAUUUUGAGAAAAAAUUUCACAUUUACAUACUGUUUUUUGGCAUUAAGUAUUUAAGAGGAAUUUAAUAUUCCUUAUUUGCAGAUAUUAGUAAACAUUUACAUACUUUUUCCAAAAAUAAAUGACUUGGUUCUGAAAUAUAUGCAGAAGGGACUUGGUUCUCAAACUCCACAAGUGCUCUGUUCAAGUGCACAAUCUCAACCCCCCUUCUCGUCCCCCAGGUGCACUUCUGAUGUUUUUCAUCAGGCUUGAUGGCAACCUAAAUGAAGCCCCGGGUCUGGGGAAGCAAAGACAUACAAACAGUAUGUAUAUUUGCUAUACUCCUACGCAUGUUUCAUGAUCAGAUGAACCCGUGCCUAAAGCAAAUGGCGGAUUUAUAACAGUUCUUUACGAGAUAGUACUAAAUGUGUUCUCUAAGAAAUGAUACUAAAUACCUUUCUAGUAAUUUUGCACUUAGAUCUCCAGAAUGUUUCAAAAUUCAUUAACCCCAGUGGAUUCCAAAAUUAUACCCCGAUAUUUUGGGUUGAAGAAAAAAGAGACCUUAAUAAUCAUCUGAACUCUGCCUAAAUCCACAUAAAGCUAAUUAUAAUCACUUAUAAGGUAAACUUUCAUAUGUAUUCAAAGGUAAUAAAUCUUACGCCACUGGAAGAAAAUUUGCUCCAACCUACAUGCUUCGAAUGGCAUACUGAAUUAAUAAUGUCAACUCGACUAAACUCAGUCCACCUUCUGGGUUGACACGUGAUUUAACUUAGAGUAGCACAGAAGAUCGACUUCUGACAUUAUGAUCAAUUCCUUCCACAAAAUUAUAAGGGUUCUGACUGAUCCACCAGCAAAGGUAUGAUGUUCACUCAAAUAAAUUCUUCAUGACAUAUAUGCUUGUGUUGACUUAAACAGACAUGGUUUCGAUAUUUUAUAGCUAGACCAUGAUCUAGUUCCAUUAAUAAAUCAUCUGAAAUAUUUGUUCAGAUUUCAAGCAUAUUAUUUUAAAAUUGUAUUUUUUACACAUUUUAAGCAUGUUGCCUAGUUACUUCUAAAAUUCUCUAAUGAUUCAAUUCAAUUAUAGCAACUUAUUAAAAUAAUUGUGCAUAAAUCACAUUGGUUCAGGCACCUAGAGAGAUUUUUUUUUUUUACCAUCAUGUAAUUAUGCGUACAUCUAAUACUUCUACUGCAGGGGCGGAGCCACCCACAGGCCAGCAUGUGUAGUGGCCCACCCUGAAAUUUUAGAUAAAAUAUUUAGUUAAAUAUAGUUCUAUGGAUCAUGUAUCAGUUCACCCAUAUUUCUCUUACAGAAAUUACUGUUGAUUCUGUUCAGGUUUAUAUUAAUUAGAAGGCGUGCGAUAUUAAUGUUACAUAUGGCUUGUGGUUUACAAAAGCAAUCAUAUAAAUGGACGACUUGUGAUUUCAUUAUGUGUAUUAAAGGUUAAAACAGAAUUUAGUGUGGAAAAGAAAUGGUUUAACAAAUACUGCCUCAAAAAGAAUCUGCGUUGUUAUGUUAGCCUAGCCCACUUUCAGUAAAACUCCUAGCUCGGACCCUGCUUCUACGUGUACUGUGAGUUAUAUGAUAUAUCCUACAAUAUGUUUUUAUAUCUCCUCAUAACCGAUGCAUGAGUAUUACAAGACAUAUUUGUGGAACAACUGUUGGUAUAUAUGCACUGUAAAGCAGGGAGAUAUAAUAUAAAACUAGAUUUUAUUAUAAUCAACUUAUUCUUAAUUACAAUUAAAGAGAUUCUUAUAUAACCAACAUCUAAAAAGUAAUAAGGUAAUAAUAAGGUAAACUUUUCUCAAAAGAAAACUGAUAUAUAAUGCAAUUAUCCAUUAAUAUUAUACUAAUAUAAUGAUAUUAUAUAUGUUAACUUCCCCUCAAAUUUACGUUGUUGAACCGAGAGUUUGUCAAACAAAAAACAGAGCUAUUAAAUCCAAAAGCCGCAAGCAUCCACAUGACACAACAGAGAAUUAAAGUAAAAAUUGCAAUUCAAGCAUAUCCAAACCGCAGGCAAAGUCAAGAAACACCCUGUAAGCGAGCGAACAAGAAACAUCCAUGUCAUACAUUAACCAACUAAAACUAUUUUAAAAUUCCUUUACGAGUGCAACCAAAACGAGCUCAAAUACAAGGUCUACUUCGAAGCCUAAGUAUAUUAGUACAGGAAACAAUUUGCACAAACUGCCAGGUCAAAGCUCUGUAUCCUCUGCUUACCGGACAAAACAGGAAGCUGAGAUAUGGUACGAAACCAAAUCCCAACACACACAUAUAUAUAAACAAUUGCUCAAAUACAAACCACUAAAUUAAAAACUAAAAUACAAACCAAGAGAAACUAUACCUAAAUAACAUCACCCACUCCCUAUAUGUCAUCACCCACCCCCUAUAUGUCAUCAUCCACCUAGGGCCCACCCUCGCCCCAACUCAAUCCACCCCGGCCCGCUAGGUCCUCGCCAAGACUCCGCAUAGGCCCUGGACAAGCUCCAGCCUUAAAAGCAAAAACUUAGCCCCACCAUGGUCUCACUAGGCCCGGCCCCGACCCUACUAGGCCCCACUUAGACCCCGUCUAGGCCCAUCUCGGGGUCCAUCCCCGGUCCCGAAACCCCUACCAUUUUAUUUAAUUGCAUUGGUUUGUAUUUUAAUAGUUUGUGUUGGAGUAGAACCUUAUUUAUAUAUAUAUGCAGGCAAGUGAUCAAAUACAAAUCAAGAGAAAUUAGUCCUAUAUUUAGUCUCACUCUCAUCCUACUAGAGCCUCACCAAGGCAUGUCUUGAGCUCCAGACAAGCUCAAGAACCAAUAUUUAGCCUCUCUCUCAUCCUACUAGGCCCUACCUAGGCCUCAGCAAGUCCCCUGGUCCAUCUUCAGGGUCCACAAACCUCCUCAUCCUCUUAAAAAGACUGGUUUGUAUUUUAGUUUCCAUUUAGUAAUCUGUACUAGAAUUCAAGAAUCUAAUUCCUAAGAUAUAUCAAAAAUAAGUAAGUACAGUGUUCCCAUUAAUUAUACCUACUCAGAUAGAUUUCCAAUUAUAAAAACUCACAUCCAAAUUAACACUCUUAGUUGAGCAUCAGUAAAACAGUAAAAAAGUAAAAAAGUUGCAUUCACACACCAACCCAAGAAAAACACAAAAUUACAGCUCAGGUAAGUUUGGGAGUACUAGAAUGAUACCUGGGACCAGAUCUUGAUGGCCAAGGCCUUAAUCUUCCUCAUGAAGUAAGUGAUUACUGUUGAGACGCUGAUGUAAUAUCGGGUUUUGCGGCAGGAAAGAUGAUAGAUUAACCAAAAUAAAAACAAAACAAAAGGCAAAACUACGUCGAACUUCUUCCAGUGAAACAUCGUUGAUGUCGGAAAUGUAAGAAAAAUAAGUUGGAAACCUAAGACGUCGGAGCCUGAGCUGCUCACGUUAGCUUUUGAAACAACGCGGAAAAGAAGAAAAGCAAAAUGGUUGUAGCAAAUGUUAGUAGCGAUGCCCGCCCGGGUCAGUUCUCGGAUUUUUAUUGGGAAUUUAUCAAAUAUACUAUUUUUUAGGAUUUUAUUUGCAAAAAUACCAUCUUUCUAAAUUAAUUGCAUAUUUACUAAACUAAAUUUCUAAAUUGCAAAUAUACUACCCCCUCCUAUUCUGAAAAUCUGGUCGAAAAUGACAUUUGGAGACUGGAACUUGAAAUCAGGCAUUUAGUUGCAUUCAGUUGCAUUUGGUUGCAUUCAGUUGAUUCUAUUUUGAUCUAAUGGCCCCGCCAGGGGCACCCAUACAUCAGUUGUAAUUUACAGUUUUCAGUUGCAUUUUGCUUAUGAGAUUGCAUAUUCAGUUGAAUAUUGCCCCUGCGGGGCCUGCAACCCAAAUCCACCACAUUAUCACCUCACCCUAAAAAAAUUCAGUUGCUCAUGAGGUUGCAUUCAGUUGAUUCUAUUUUGAUCUAAUGGCCCCGCCAGGGGCAUCCAUACAUCAAUUGUAACUUACAGUUUUCAGUUGCAUAUAUAUGAGAUCGAUUGCAUUCAACCAUAUGCAACCUCAUAUGCAACUGCAACUCCUGAUUUCAAGUUCCAGUUCUCGAAUGUCAUUUUCGACCUCAUCCUUGGAAUCCAUAUAUAUAUAUGUGUGGAUUCCAAGGAUGAGGUCGAAAAUGACAUUACGAAAACUGGAACUUGAAAUCAGGCAUUCAGUUGCACGUGGUUGCAUUCAGUUGCAAACUCAUUAGUGUUAACAUGAUAUUCAUCGACGAGAAGGUGUGUCCACAUAAAUAUAUAUAUAGGGGAGGGUUCUGGUACAAACUUACAAACUUACAAACCUUUUUUUGUUCAACACAUAUAUAACUUGAGUUCAACAUUUUUUUAACAUAUUUUGUUGAACAUCGAUUAAAAUAGUGGUGGAGAAGUACAUAAACCAAUUUUUAAAGAUAAGAACUAAGGUAAACAUGUUAUAUAACUAAUAUUUAUGUUUCUAGACCCUACCCAAACCCCAGAGGUAUAGUUUAAACAUAUUUUUAGAUAUGUUCAACACAAUGAUAAUUAGUGUUCAACACCCGAUGUUGAACCCCAGUUAUAAAUGUGUUGAAAACGCGAUUUAUUUAUGCGUUAUUUUUAAAAAUUGUGAUGUUUUUUGAAAAAUUUUCAACAUGGAUACUUUAUAUAACUAAGGAUUAACACGAUGGGAGAAUAAAAAAAAGUUUGUAAGUUUGUAACUUAAAAAAGUUUUCAUUUGAUCCUAUCCCUAUAUAUAUAUAUAUAUAUAUGGAUUCCAAGGAUGAGGUCGAAAAUGACAUUCGAGAACUGGAACUUGAAAUCAGGCAUUCAGUUGCAUGUGGUUGUAUUCAGUUGCAGAAUGGAGGAGGAGUAUUUUUGCAAUUUAAAAACUUAGUGUAGUAAAACUGCAAAUAGCUAUUCUUGAGAAAAGUAAAUUUGCAAAAAUUUACUUUUUCCUAUAUAUUUAUGAAAAAACCCCUUUUAUUUACUAUAAAUUAACUUUGUUUUAAAACCGAUCAUUAAUUAUCGAUUAAUUCUUAUUUCUUCGUAACUCGCUGAAUUGAUUAAAUCUUCGAUUAUUAUCUGAUUAAUAUUUGAUUAAUUCAAUUGUUUCAUCGGGCAAGUCUGAUUCUCGUUUUUUAUCACACUGAUUAUUAACAUUAUUUUCAACUGAUUAUAUUUAAGGAAAUUUAUAAAAUAUUCAUGUUUUCGGAUUUUUUCUAUGGGUACAUUCGAAGUUAUAAUUAUAUUGCGAGUUAAAUGAGGCCGCACCUUAUUUUGAACAUAAUUUCAAAAAUAUUUUGGAUUUUUUUAAAUUUAUGCUAAAGAUGAUUAUGUACAUUUUUAAUAUAUUUUUUUAAGCCACUAAGUAAUCUUUUGCUGCUUCGAAUUUUAAUGGUGUGUCAGAAUUUGCAACUGAAAAUAUAAUUAUUGAAAAUAUAUAUUUCAACAUCUAUAUUCUCUUUUAUAAUUAAAAUGUGUUCCGUUCAUGAUGAGUAUUUUUAGUAUAUAUAUAUCAAAUAAUUUUAUAAUAAAUAGUUAAAAUAUAUAGUCAAUUAUUUUCACAAUCAAGGUGGACACACAAAUAUCAAGAAUAUAUUUAAGAGUAAACUAUUUAAAUAAAAGAGGACAUAAACAAAGGUCGAGAACAAAGUUCACCUUUUAUCAACCAAAUACAUUUAUCCAUGAAGUUCUUGUACCACUUUUUUCCCAUGGGAAGUUAUUUGUUGCAUUGGACAAGCAAUUGUCACGCUAAAUAUAGUAAAUUUAAUAAUAAUAUAAAAAAAUUGUAUGAUCUCGUAGUAUUGGUUGAGACUAUAAUAAAAUUAUAUAAAGUAUUAGAAAUAUUUUUGUAAUAUAAAAAGUAGAUUUAGUAUUUUCAAUUUUACCUCAAAAAUUUAAACUCAAAUAUUGUCUUAUCUCAAAUAAAUUAAGGACAUUUUCGGAACUAUUAUUCAUUUAUUAUCAAUAUUUAGGUUCAUUAAUGAAAAGGCAAAUUUAUUGUAUAGAUAUAUCAUUGAUUUUACUUAAUUUAUCAUUUUCCAAUUAUUUUAUCUAUGAACUUUUGAAAUAAUAAAAGAAAUUACGUUUAUUUUUAUUAUAUAAGUGUUAAAAUCUUUAAACAUAUUCAUUAAUAAAAACAACAAAAAACCUGGCAUCGCGAUCUAAUCACACAGAUUAUAAUGUGAUAAAAUUCAUUUUUACUAUAAUUUAAAUAAUUUGUUUGUAACUGAGAUUUAUUUAUGCAUGUCCGUUCAAAAAUAUAUAUUAAAAAUACUUACAUAUUUUGAUAUCUACAUUAUUUAUUCAAUCUAGAAAAUCUCAUACUAGCCGGAUGUAAAAUAUAUAAAAUUUUGUCCGGACGUAAAGUUAGGGACGUAUUCAAUUCAAUUUUAAUGAAUUGUUUUAAUUUAUGAAUAUGAAAAUUUACCAAAACUACCACUUUUUCUAAGUUUUUUUGCGAUUUUACUAUCUUUUAAAAAAUAUUUACAAUAGUAAGAUCUGCAACUAGAUGUAAUUAGAUGCAAUUUCAAUUAAUUGACCCGCGUGUGUUGGAAGUAUGGUUGUAUCUAGUUGCAAGUAUAGUUGCAUUUGCUUGCAACAGGUUGCAUACAGUAUCUAUGUAAAUAUUUUCAAAAGUUUGAUAUUUUUGCAAAAUAUUUGAAGAAAGAUGUAGUAUUUUUGUAAAAAAUAUUUUGGACUUAGUAUUUAUGAGAAAACUCCUUUUGAUUAUAUGCGAAUUUUUAUAAAAUGUAACAGAAUUAAUAUUGAUUUUUAGGAUUUAAGAACAGUACUUCAAAAUCACAUGAAUUUCAGUCAGAUUUCAAACAACUUUUUUUGAUAACAAAGAAUCAAUUCAUUAAUUAAAAGCCAUACGGCAUCUACAAACACAAUCGAAAUUGGACAGACGCUGAAGAAUAUCGCUGUUGAAUCCUUCCUUCUUGGAGAGGCAACUGAGCGAUUUGAAGAUGAUUUGAAUAUACACACUUGUUUCCAUCUGAUUGGUUUUCACCUGAGUGUUCUGAACAAUCGACCAUAGAUGCGAUCCCAUAAUAACCUUCAAAUUUGAAUCAAAUCCAUGCAAAUCAUGCCGAUCUAUAACCUCGGUCAUGAAGAACAUCAAAACACACCAAAACAAAACAAACCAACUCUCACGAGAAGGAGAGACAAACAAAACCCAAAUAAAUUGGGAACUUAUUGAAUGAGAAAUAAGAUUUCAAAACAAGAAAACAGAAAAAAAAGAAAUUGGGGCUUUCCACCAGUGAAAACCGAUGGAAGCCCCUUCAAAAAUCUUUAACGGAGAUAGACAAUCUCAAAAAAUCCAUCAUUUGAUGAAGUUUGAAAAAAAUUCAUUUAAUGAAUUUUAAACAAUUCUCAAAUGAAUACCAUCACAUUUUAAGCAUAGUAUAAUAUUCAGAUCGAAUAUCACCCGAUUUUGUAGUAAAAUAUAAAAUCUCAAUCGAAUACCCCAAAAUUCUGAUUUUUUUUUAAAAUCCGAGUUAAAUAUCUCGAAUUUCAUGAAUAAACAAUUGAAUACACCCCUUAAUUUCUUAUUCAAACUCGUCAAUUUCUCUCGAACGACGAACAUAAUUAGUAAUUGUUUUGAUCAUUUUAUUUGUCCUUGAGAUCAUUAAUUUCUCCUGCAACAGGAAAAAUAAGAAAUUAUUUUGAUUGAUAUCUCAAAACAAACCAACCAUAUUUCCACUCGGAGAUGGCAUGCUCCAAAGAGACGCGUAAAAGAUGCUUUUAGAGUAUUGCAGGAAGACGAUGGGCAAUGAGUAUAAAGCGAUAGGAAAUACUUAUCAACGGCCAAGGAGUGAAGAACGAAGAUGAAACCGCGUGUCACAACAAAAAGAAAGACAAGAGGCAUUGUGGAUGUUUGAGAGAGCUUUUCUACCCGACGGACAUAAGUUAAAAAGUAAAAAAUAUAUAUAUUCAAAUACAUAUAAAUAUAUUUUACUCAGUAAGUUUAACUAACUUCUUAAUUUUAAACAUGAUUUUUUGAUUUAAUUUAGAGUAUCUCAUUAUUAUCUGCUCAAUAAUUUCAUAUUAUUUGCUUUUCGUUUUCAGUAUUAAUAUUUUCCGUAAAUUCAAAAACAUGGUCAAACAUCAUAUAUGUACUAUUUAAAACCUCCUCGAUUCUAGUCUUUUGUAUACGUUUACUGUUUACACAAAUUUCGAGACUUUUCUAAAGUAUAGUUUCAUAAAAAAAUUUCAAAAAUUGCCAACAAGGUGUUGGUGUGGUUGUAAAGCUCUUGUACCUCCUUGCGGGAGGUCGGGAGUUCGACUCCCCACAUGUGCGUGGCAAAAAAAAAUUCUAAAAAUUUAUUUGAACAAAAUUUUAGAUGUAAAAUUUUUAUUCAAAAAAAGAAAAAUUUAAAGACAUAUUAUGGAAUUAUACAUUAAAAAAGUCCUAAAAAACGUGAUAAAAAAUAACGUAUACAAUUUAAUGAGAUAGAGGGAGUAUAAACAAAUUUUAACUGUGAAGUCAAACAAUAACAUAUAUUUUAUUUCUUAUGUCCCUCUUAGUAGUUUACAUAUGAGAGGGAGAUGAAGACCAAUGCACUUCAUAUAAUAAACUAAACAGACUCAAAAAAUAUUUAAAGUAAAUUACACUUUGGACCUUAUAAUUACGAGUCCUUUUCGAAUUGGUCUUAGACAUUUUUCGUGAUAGAACACACCCCAUUAUUUAAUUCGCUUCGCUUUUGCACCCUUUUGAUCAUCCGUAAUUUGAGUGGAGCGUUAGCAUUAAUAGAGCCAAGGGUAUAGUAGUAAAAACAAUUAAUUAUCUCCCCAUGUUUCACCUUCUUUCUUCCUCUUCCGGCACCGCAGUAAGCGCCGGCGCCUAGGCAACCAUCAACAAACAACAACCAUCACCAUAACCUUUCGCCACUGCACAUCUUCCACUUGAACCCUCACAAUAUCUCCCUCGUGUCCAACCGCUUCCUAUUUGCUAGAAAAGCGACCACGCCGCCCCUUCAGCCACUGGAAUUAGUGUCACCCUGCCAACCUCCGAUCAAUCCUUCCGACACAUCUAAACAGCCAAGGCACAAUCAAUACGCAAGCAUACAAUAUCGAAAUCAAACAUACAAUUCAUACAUAUAGCUCAUCUCUUUUUAAUUGACCGGAGAGGAUUAUGAGAUUGUGAGGAAGAAUAAGAAGGGACUUAUUGAUCGGACGACGGCCGGACCGCCAUCGCGACUAGGAGUGAGCACGGUUCGGUUUGGACGGUUUUGGAGGUCCAAACCGAAUCAAACCGACUUUUUCGAUUUUGAAAAUUUACAAAUCGUAACGAAACUGAAUGUUAUAAAAACUAAUCCAAACUGAAUUGAUUCUUAACGGAUUGGUUCAGUUUGGUUUCGGUUUAAUAGCAAAAUAUUAAAAAAAAAUUGUACACUUUUAUUAAUUUAUAAUUCUAUAAUAAUUGUAGGUGCUCUCUUUUUUGUUACUUAACAAAAUAGUUAAUAAAAGAUAAAGGUGAAACUUGUAUCUCUUCGAUAUAAAUAAUUUUAGGUGCUACUCUUAUACAUAUUAAAAUAAAUAAUUUAUUUUAUUUUAAAACCGAAACAAAAUAUUUUAUUAAAAGAGAAAAAUAAGAAAGUUUGAUUAUUAAUGAAGAGUAAAUAAAAUAAAGAUGGAGAAAAAGGGGAAGACUAAUUUUAAAACGAAGAAGUAUUUAUAAUACUAAUCAACAUUCGAACACUUAAAUACCUAAACUAAAUAUAUGAAAAUAUUAAUUAUAUAACAUAUGUGCUAACGGUUCGGUUCGGAUAUUUCCGUCGGUUUAAAGGUGAAAACCAAAACCAAACCGAAGAUUUUCGAUUUUCUAAUUUUUCGGCUUUUUAAUUACCAAAAUCAAAAUCAAACCAAAUCGUGAAGAGACCGAAAUAUUCGGUUUGGACGGUUUGGAUCAUCACUCGUUUCACUUAAUUAUGCUCAGGUCUAAUCGCGACAACGCCAUCGUGAGAGCUUUUAUAUCAAAUAAGUGUAAAUACUAAAAAAUAUAUACAAAUACAUAAGUUAAAAUAUUACUUUUCAUUUAUAGCUAACUUCUUAUUUAUACCUUUUUAAAUUAAGAGAAGCGGCUUCAUUGUUUUAACACCACCCUUUCAUAUUAAUUAAUAUAAUACAUAGUUAUUUGAUUCGCUAUCUAACCAACACUACACUUCAUAUUAAUAUUAUUCAGAUUAAUAUAAUGAUUUUAUUCACUAUCCAGCCAACAUUACAGCCUGAUACUCUCAGUAAAUAAUACUACUUCCAUCUCAAAUUAGAUGAGCUAGUUGACUUUGAGCACGCAACUUUAGGUGCAUUGACCGUCUACUUCUGAAAUUUAUUUUUUUAUUUUUUUCUUUUGUAAAUGAAGAUUUCAUAUUUUAAUUUUUAUUUGUAAAAAUAAAAUUUUAAAAAUAAAUCAUGUAGCUAUGCGGUCAAUGAACUUUAAAUUGUGUGCCCAAAAUCAACAAGAUAUCUGAUUUGAGAUGAAGGGAAUAUGUAAUACGAGAACCAACAAAGUUAGGCACCUUCUCGCCCAUUGAUCUCCUUGUUGGUAUCUUGAGUGUGAAUAAUUUGUUUUGAAAGUCAUUUGUUUUGUUAACCUCUGGAUGAGACUAAAUUAGCUGAACCAUACGUCAUGCAGGGGGUUUGUUGAAGUUUGCAAAUUGCUGGACGACGACUGAGUAUCUUUUGGACGACCCGGCCGGCCGGCCUUUGUACAGUAUCUGGAUGGUUAAGAAAAACAUAUCAUAUGUACACACUUUCUAACCUUGUGUUUUUUGAUUUUUAUGAACUUUAAAAUUUAUAAUUUAUAAUAUUUUUAUAUAAAUAUAGCAUAUAGUCUUUAUUUGCAUACUUAUAAAAUAUUUUGAUUAUAUUAUUUGUUUAUCCGGAAAUUUUAUUUGUCAUAUUUUCACUCAUCCAUAAAUUUGAUUCAGAUUUAACAAAUGACCUCUUAGUAAAAAUAUAGAAUAUAAUUUUUUGUGUUUGGCAUAGAAUUGUGGAGUAAAAUAAUUUCAAAAUCUAAAUCAUAUUUAGAUAUUAUACGAUACUCCCUCAAUCUCACAUGUAUACAAUGAACAACAGGAGGUUGACACAUAUUUAAAGACUCCGUUAAAUUAUAAUUAUAUAUAUUAUUUUUAAUUUUUUUCUUCUAAAUAAAAUUAUAUGUUUAAACUUUAACUAAAAAAAGUAGAAAUAAAUUAUGAAAAUAGAUCUUAUCAAAAUAUGUCUCGAACAUAGAAAACCGUAUACAGUUGAAAGAGGCACAUAGAAUAUAUAAAAUGAAAUAUAGAGUGAUCUUAAAAGUCUUCACCACACUUUUGCGAAAUUAGGGAUGCCACUAAAUCCAUCGCCAACCCAUGGUCCUGUCCUGCUCCUGUACAACAGAUUUAAACCUCAACAAUAGAUAAAUAAAAUGCUUUAAUAAAAUAAAAAAAAUAUGUGAAGAAUAUAAUAUAUAAUAUUUACCACACCAAGGUGAAAAACAAUGAAACUUCAACAUGACCACAGCCAUAGAUACACAAUUUAUGGGACGAAGUCUCCACCAACAGCAGAUACUACAAAUUUAAGGAAUUUAAAAUCUCAUUACAAACAUUUACACACCGGGCACUCGGGCAGGGUAUUGUAGAACAUAAAAUUUAUAAUGCACAUCUUUAUCAUUGAUGUAAUAUCUUACUGCAGCUUCAAUUUUUGGACAAACCCCUUGCUCACCAACCAUUGAAUCGUUAAUUAGAUCUAUAGCUUGUCAAUCCGUAGCACCACCAAGGCACAUCAACCGCGGUUUUUGAAUCUUCUUUUAAUUCUUGAGCUUGUGCGGCCAGAAAAACGAAGCCAACCAGGUUUCCAAAGCCCAUAAUUAACAAUCCAUGAACUGUGUCUUCUGGGUUGUAUCUACGGAGAAGAAAAAAACAAUGCGCGUCCACAACGAAAACAAAAAAGAAUAAAAAGAGCAACGCAAACCACCUGCCAAUUAUCCAGUUCUUACUCCACACUGCAACAGGCCUACACAAAGCAAGAGAAGCGAAGAAUUAGGAGAGAUAGAUUACCCAGUGUACUCGGGUCAGAUAUUAAUUCAGGUAAGGCCAAAUGAUUAAUUAGUACUCAUACCAACUUCCAAAGUAGUUAGAAGCAGAAAGGUUAUAUAUUACUUGACAAGAAUACUCUAGGCAACAUCAAAUCACAAAAACAACUCUCAUAAGAACUUCAGCACACAAUAAUACAAUAUCUGAUUGAUUGAGAAAUUAUUCACUAGUACUUAAAAGACUCCUCAAAGUUUCUGAGAUUUGUAUUGUUGGAAGAACGCCUUGAAAUAAUUUUGUACACCUAGUAUAUUAAUGGUUCUCCAGCUACCCAUGGUUACAACACAAUAUCAGUUUUUUCCCUUUAAAUCUCUGAUCAUUUGCAUUUCUCUUUCACUCUCACCCAUAUUUGAUUUUACUUCCACCAGAGUUGACUAGAAUAGCCACUCCUACCCAGUAUCUCAAUACCAACUAUGUUCCAAUCACUGCCUACCUGGUCCAGUAAUCAAAUACGUCACUAUUCAUCUUGCACACUGCCCAACUUACAGUUUAUUCUGACUUAAACAUCACCAGUUCUUGUCUCCCUGCUAGGUUUUCUUCAAAAGACCUCGGUUCAUAUGAUUAUUUUAGCGUGUUCGGAUGUGGCAGAAGCCUAAUAUUGUUCUGUCACAAAAACUGAAUGGCACCCACAUGGAGGAUAGUAAUGGUGUCAUUACAACUUUUGGUUCCAUUCUUCUUUAUUAAGACUUGAACAAGCCAGAGAAGAAGGGACUUGGUAUCUAUACUAAACAAGUUGCAAUACCUUUCAUUCACUAGGCCAGAUAUUUCCUUCCUUUUUUCCUAACAAAUUGACCAAGUUUACGCACCUUCCCAGUAGCAAGCUGUUAAGCAGUUGUGUUUUCUAAAGCAUGGUGCAUCAUAUUGAUUAUUUUUUGCGCGAACACAGAAAAUGAAAUGUCCAGCUUCAGACUCCAAUUGUGCUGGCGAUCUUUCACAAACAUCCUCUACAACGGGCUCUCAGAGUUGGAGCCAGCAACUGAAGCUACAGUGCACCAAAUAUGAUAGCUAAAUAUAUUGUACCAACUAUAAAAAUAAACUCAUCAAAUAUGAGAACUGUGUUGUUAAAUCAAUAAAAUCAAACGUAAUAUAAGAUCACAAUAGUGUGUGUGUGUGUGUGUGUGUGUGUGUGUACAAUCUACUGCAAAAAUAGAAGUGUGGAAACUGUUGAACUGCUGAAGUUAAAAACAAAGAGGAAGGGGGGAUGAAAGGGAAGGAAGCCGGGCUAGUUUACAAAGAUGAUAGUGCAACAAAAACAACUCGCAAGAGAAGUAUCAAUAGAAAAGGAAAGAAAAAAAGGUUGAUCAUGAAUUAAUAAUUUCAGCAGGGACGGAAAAACUCCAGAAAGUUUGUGGGAUUUGUAUGAAGUGAGACCUAUGUAACUGAAAGAGAAAUAAUAAUAAUAAUAAUAAUAAUAAUAAUAAUAAUAAUAAUAAUAAUAAUAAUGAUAAUGAUAAUGAUAAUAAUAUAAUAUAAUAUAAUAUAAUAUAAUAUAAUAUAAUAUAAUAUAAUAAAUAUAAUACAAUAUAAUAUAAUAAAAUAAUAAUAAUAAUAAUCCAUAGAUGAUAAGCACAAGUGCACUAAAAUUAGAUUCAAAAUUAAUUACAAUAGUUAACAUUCUACAAAGACAUAGUAGUAAAUAAUAGUAGUAACAACUAGAAAUCUAGAAUAAGUCAAUAUAGCAGUGGUGAGAAAAUGAUAAGCCUCAAGCUAAGAUACUUAAGCCUAUCUCUUAUAACUCUAUGUAUAAUAUGUCCAUUUUUUAUUACUAUGUACAUAUAAACCUGGCUGAAGUAAGACAUCUAAUGUUAUGCUAGUUAAACCAGCCACUCCGACCAGAAAUCUCAACACCAACUAUGUUCCGAUAUGUCACUCUUUAUCUUGCACACACCCCAAUUUACAGUUUGUCCUUGCUUAGGUAAAUGAGUUGAACAUCACCAGUUGUUCUUGCCUCUCUGCUAGGUUGUUUCCUCUGAAGACCUUGGUCCACCGAAUUAUUGUAGAUGUGGCAAAAGCCUAGUGGUAUAAUUCAUUCACCUAUUGCUUCCACUCCUCUUUACGUAUAGUCAUGGUUCUAAAAAUCCCCGAUUUGGCCGAUUUAUCCCCUGUAAGGCGCCUUCCUGAUUUGGAUUUUAAAAUCCGAUUAAUCAUUCUAAAUUUUCUUAAAUGUCAUGGUAUGUAGUAAAUUAAACUAAUAUAUCAAAUAUUAUUAUAAUAUUAUAAAACAUCCUAUUUUUGAUCUGAUCAUCCGAUUAAUCCCUUAUCAACACCUCCACUGAUCAGUCCUAGUUACCGAUUUUUACGACCAUGCCUAUAGUAAGAGUUCUCGACAAAUUACAAUAUGUUUCAUUCACUAAGCCAGAUAUGUCCUUUCAUUUUCUGCGAACAAAUUGUCGAUGUAUAUGCAGCGUCCCACCAGCAAGGUGUUAAGUAGCUGUUCUUCAUCCAAAGCAUAGUGCAAAAAAUAUCAUCUAUUCAGACUCCGAGGUCUUCGAGGCUUUCAGAGAUGGAGCCACUAGGGACAUACUAUUUUUUAGAUUAAGACUAAAGGAUUCGUGGGAUUUAAGAGGAUAUCAUAUAAUGAUAUGCUAAACAUGUGUGACUAAUAUACAAAUAAACUGAUUAAAUACGAGAAAUUGUUAGUAGUCUGCAAAAAAUAAAAUUGUGAAAUAUCUCAGGUUAUACAUAGAUCCUGGGAUCAAAGCAUAAUAAAAAAAGCUGAAAUCAAGUAACACAAACAUAAACUCUGAGAGCAAAGUGAUGAAGUUAAUU